GAAGUGUUAGUAAAACAAUUACAUAGCCUUGUCAAGGCUAAAUCACGGGUGAAACCCCCGUACACCUCAUUACCCAA
Molecule: transfer RNA, 77 nt
Filed under: Tregellasia leucops (white-faced robin)
Lineage: Eukaryota; Metazoa; Chordata; Aves; Passeriformes; Petroicidae
Description: tRNA-Asp
Source: RNAcentral